UACAGAGGGUGCGAGCGUUGUCCGGAAUCACUGGGCGUAAAGGGCGCGUAGGUGGUCCGCUAAGCGUGUGGUGAAAGCUCGGGGCUCAACCCCGAGUCGGCCAUGCGAACUGGUGGACUUGAGCAUACUAGAGGCAAGUGGAAUUCCGGGUGUAGCGGUGGAAUGCGUAGAGAUCCGGAAGAACACCGGUGGCGAAGGCGGCUUGCUGGGGUAUGGCUGACACUGAGGCGCGACAGCGUGGGGAGCAAACAGG
RNAcentral lists this ribosomal RNA (253 nucleotides) under uncultured bacterium. RNAcentral's name for it is "partial 16S ribosomal RNA". It matches the Rfam family "Bacterial small subunit ribosomal RNA", at positions 524 to 776 of the family's 1533-position model. The record is from RNAcentral.